This 463-nucleotide ribosomal RNA is filed under the name uncultured Glomus. Its description in RNAcentral is "SSU rRNA". It matches the Rfam family "Eukaryotic small subunit ribosomal RNA", at positions 569 to 1040 of the family's 1831-position model. The record is from RNAcentral. Lineage: Eukaryota; Fungi; Glomeromycota; Glomeromycetes; Glomerales; Glomeraceae.
AGCAGCCGCGGUAAUUCCAGCUCCAAUAGCGUAUAUUAAAGUUGUUGCAGUUAAAAAGCUCGUAGUUGAAUUUCGGGAUCAAUAUGUUGGUCGUGCCUUGGUACGUACUAAUUUAUUGGUUUCUUCCUUCUGACGAACCAUGAUGUCAUUAAUUUGGUGUCUUGGGGAAUCAGGACUGUUACUUUGAAAAAAUUAGAGUGUUUAAAGCAGGCUCACGCUUGAAUACAUUAGCAUGGAAUAAUGAAAUAGGACGUUUGAUUCUAUUUUGUUGGUUUCUAGGAUCGACGUAAUGAUUAAUAGGGAUAGUUGGGGGCAUUAGUAUUCAAUUGUCAGAGGUGAAAUUCUUGGAUUUAUUGAAGACUAACUACUGCGAAAGCAUUUGCCAAGGAUGUUUCAUUAAUCAAGAACGAAAGUUAGGGAUCGAAGACGAUCAGAUACCGUCGUAGUCUUAACCAUAAACUAU